This 833-nucleotide ribosomal RNA is filed under the name archaeon enrichment culture. Its description in RNAcentral is "bacterial SSU rRNA". It matches the Rfam family "Archaeal small subunit ribosomal RNA", at positions 20 to 859 of the family's 1478-position model. The record is from RNAcentral.
GCGGCUACUGCUAUCAGGUUUCGACUAAGCCAUGCGAGUCAAGGGGUCGUAAGACACCGGCGUACUGCUCAGUAACACGCGGACAAUCUACCCCCAGGUGGAGGAUAACCUCGGGAAACUGAGGCUAAUACCCCAUAGUUGUCAUGUGCUGGAAUGCUUUGACGAUGAAAGAAUUUCGCCUGAGGAUGAGUCUGCGGCCUAUCAGGUAGUAUGUGGUGUAAAGGACCACAUAGCCUAAGACGGGUACGGGCCUUGAAAGAGGGAGCCCGGAGAUGGACUCUGAGACACUAGUCCAGGCCCUACGGGGCGCAGCAGGCGCGAAAACUGUGCAAUGCGCGCAAGCGCGACACGGGAAGCCUGAGUGCCUUAACUAUGUUAAGGCUGUUCUUGAUCCUAAAAAGCUCAAGGAAUAAGAGCUGGGUAAGACGGGUGCCAGCCGCCGCGGUAACACCCGCGGCUCGAGUGGUAGUCACUUUUAUUGAGCCUAAAGCGUUUGUAGCCGGAUUUGUAAAUCUCUAGGAAAAUACUUCUGCUUAACUGAAGAAAUUUUGGAGAGACUGCAAAUCUAGGGACCGGGUGAGGUUGAAUGUACUUCUGGGGUAGGGGUAAAAUCCUGUAAUCCUGGAAGGACGACCGGUGGCGAAGGCGUUCAACUGGAACGGAUCCGACGGUGAGGAACGAAGGCUAGGGGAGCAAACCGGAUUAGAUACCCGGGUAGUCCUAGCUGUAAACACUGCCCACUUGGUGUUGCAUCUCCGGUAAGGGGGUGCAGUGCCGUAGCGAAGGUGUUAAGUGGGCCGCUUGGGGAGUAUGGUCGCAAGGCUGAAACUUAA